Molecule: long non-coding RNA, 563 nt
Filed under: Brassica rapa (field mustard)
Lineage: Eukaryota; Viridiplantae; Streptophyta; Magnoliopsida; Brassicales; Brassicaceae
Description: long non-coding RNA (BRAP_LNC001069)
Source: RNAcentral
GUGGCUACAUUUAAAUAUUGUAAUGUUUCUCAAUUAAUAUAUAAGGGAUUUUUUUUUUUUUGUUAAAGGAUUUUCAUUAAUAUUAAUAAAGGAUACAAGCAAGCUUUAGAACUAAAAGAUAACAGUUACAUAAGAGAAAGGGGGGAGGAACAGCAAAGGCUGAUAUUCAACUAGAUUAUCAAGAAUGAGAAAAAGCAGUAUGGUGGGUCAAACCAAAAGGAAGCCAACAAGGGACCUCUUGGGAGACCUUGAGCCUCCAUCGCCGAGCAUUUAUCCCGCAAAGAAGAAAGGAUGAGUUUUACCACCCUAGCAGCAGGCCAUGUGAGGCCAUCAUGAAGACGCCUGUUUCUUUCUCUCCAAAGCUCAUAGACAGAUGCCUGCCAGCCCUGAAGAAAAGCUAUCCUUUGUGUGUUAUUACCAGGAGCAUGAGGCAGCCAGAGUAAGACCUCCGACCAUGAUAAAGGCCAGUCUGCUAUUCCAAAUGUAGACAUGAUAGAGUUCCAUACAGCAGAGGAGAAGGAGCAUGUGAAAAAAAGGUGAUCUCUGCUUUCAUUGCAGCUUCC